RNAcentral lists this ribosomal RNA (494 nucleotides) under uncultured bacterium. RNAcentral describes it as "partial 16S ribosomal RNA". It matches the Rfam family "Bacterial small subunit ribosomal RNA", at positions 29 to 507 of the family's 1533-position model. The record is from RNAcentral.
ACGAACGCUGGCGGCGUGCCUAAUACAUGCAAGUAGAACGCUGAAGGCGGAGCUUGCUUCUCUGGAUGAGUUGCGAACGGGUGAGUAACGCGUAGGUAACCUGCCUGGUAGCGGGGGAUAACUAUUGGAAACGAUAGCUAAUACCGCAUAAGAGUAGAUGUUGCAUGACAUUUGCUUAAAAGGUGCAAUUGCAUCACUACCAGAUGGACCUGCGUUGUAUUAGCUAGUUGGUGGGGUAACGGCUUACCAAGGCGACGAUACAUAGCCGACCUGAGAGGGUGAUCGGCCACACUGGGACUGAGACACGGCCCAGACUCCUACGGGAGGCAGCAGUAGGGAAUCUUCGGCAAUGGACGGAAGUCUGACCGAGCAACGCCGCGUGAGUGAAGAAGGUUGUCGGAUCGUAAAGCUCUGUUGUAAGAGAAGAACGAGUGUGAGAGUGGAAAGUUCACACUGUGACGGUAACUGACCAGAAAGGGACGGCUAACUACGUG